CCUGCGGGAGGCAGCAGUGAGGAAUAUUGGUCAAUGGGCGCGAGCCUGAACCAGCCAAGUCGCGUGAGGGAAGACGGUCCUAUGGAUUGUCAACCUCUUUUGUCGGGGAGCAAAAGACGCCACGCGUGGCGUUCCGAGAGUACCCGAAGAAAAAGCAUCGGCUAACUCCGUGCCAGCAGCCGCGGUAAUACGGAGGGUGCAAGCGUUGUCCGGGAUCAUUGGGCGUAAAGAGUUCGUAGGCGGUAUGUUAAGUCUGGUGUUAAAUGCAGAAGCUCAACUUCUGUUCGGCACUGGAUACUGGCAAACUAGAAUGCGGUAGAGGUAAAGGGAAUUCCUGGUGUAGCGGUGAAAUGCUUAGAUAUCAGGAGGAACAUCGGUGGCGUAAGCGCUUUACUGGGCCGUAAUUGACGCUGAGGAACGAAAGCCAGGGUAGCAAAUGGGAUUAGAUACCCGUGUAGUC
Molecule: ribosomal RNA, 460 nt
Filed under: uncultured bacterium
Lineage: Bacteria
Description: partial 16S ribosomal RNA
Rfam family: Bacterial small subunit ribosomal RNA
Source: RNAcentral